UGCCAGAGUGGAAGUCCAAAUGGGGAAAAGGCUUGCAGGCUUAGAUAAGCCGAGCAGAGUGGACCUUUACUGACAGGCCACUACUGGAAACAGACGGGCCGCCCGGCAGAAGGGUGUUUGGUGGGCACAGAGGAGAAGUGCAGAACGGAAGCCAUCCCCGAGGCCCCCCUGACCAAUUUCAAGCUCUGUGCAUGGUGGAAGGCCUGUAUGUCUUGUCUCUGGAGAAGGAGGCCUUUUGUAAAUAUACUAACGUGGUUCAGUAUUAUGCACGUGAGACAGAAGGUCAGUUCCCUGGGGAGUAGGGUUAUCUGGACACGUUAGAGCUUGCUGGCCAACAAGAGGAAAAUGGCUCUUUGGAAGUCACCCCUGCUCCGAGGUGUUCUCUGGGAACACUUGCUGAGUGCCGGGGAAUCCUUCUCAGAGCACACAGCACGUCCAUUUCUCAUCGCCAUUCAGGAAGGAGGAGGGUUUCUCCUGAACAGAAGGGCAAAAAAGAUGCUUUCGUCUGUGGAACAAAGAGCCUCCCUCCUCUGAGCUGGCCCAUGGAGCCCUGUCCAUGCAGCAGGCCCAACCUUGAGCACACGGAUAGCCACGUCUGACUCUUCAACAUUCUGUACCCUCUGCCCGCCUCGUACCCAAAACUUCCAGCACACCCUCCUCCACAACCGCCGUUCCCUGAAGACCAUCUACCUGAGGCCGUGCGUUCAUCCUAAGUUACUAGAACAUGGCCCUUAGCAAGCCCAGAAUCCCUGUUUGUUGAAUCACUCUACUGAAGAAGGUCAUGGAAUCUAUCACUGUCAUAAACAUGCCUCUGAUUUCCAUCACUGGGCAAGUUUGGGAAGCUCUGAGUUGAUACAAACACAUUCAUUUGGAACAAUGAAAAUAAAGAAAUAGGGUAAGGGCGCAUUAGGGUCUGGGAAGGUUCACUGAUGUUCUUCUAUCGGCCCAGAUGAGAUGGGGUGGGAGAGGCAUGUGGAACAAAGAGAAGUGAUGCAGUUCCACCCAGAAGGACCGUGACAAAUGGCGUGGAGACCACCCGACCCUUCAUUGAGAGCAUCUAAGUAGUGGUAGCCUUUCAAGAGAGGUUGAGUCCGCUGAACCCUGAACGUGAGGACUUGAAAAGCAACUGGGCCUAUUUGUACAGAAACCGUCACCUUAGGCCUCCGGCUUACCCACCACCUCUAAACUGGACGGGCCCACAUUGAAACCUGUUUCAAUUGCAGUUCUUAUUCUGUUUCGUAAGUAGUUCUCAUCACCCGCAUCGGAGACGAUUUGAAAAUUAAGGCCAAUCCACUUGUAACACACCUUAAAACUCAUACGAAGAACAAAGUCCCUGUGUCAUAUCCCCAGCUGCCUGAUUUGAGGGAAAGAAGCCUUGCCACAUCAAUAUUAUUCUGCACUGAAAGCUUUCUACACUUAAUCCCCCCAGUUCACAGCUGAAGCCCUCGUGAGUCUUCUGGAAAUCGAGCCGUGCUAACGCGUUCGUGUCGUAAAUAAGCGAAGUUACGUGAAGUAACUUCUCCGCAAGACAGUUCCUGAUUUGUCUAUAUCCCACCCCUCGUCUUCUGUGCACGCAGCUGACCCCGAGAUGGCCGGUGCAGACCAGAGCCCAUUAGGCAUAAUAGCGUGUUACCAUUUAUUGUGUGCAACGUGCCAGGAAUUCUGGUGUUCAUCCCUUCCCGCUCCAUGAACCCAUUUUCUGUUCCUUAACAGCACUGGUGUCCCACUGACCUUGGGUUUAUUUAUUUUUGAGCGACAGAGAGGGAGAGA
Molecule: long non-coding RNA, 1770 nt
Organism: Prionailurus viverrinus (fishing cat)
Lineage: Eukaryota; Metazoa; Chordata; Mammalia; Carnivora; Felidae
Exons: 3
Source: RefSeq, a predicted model, not a curated record